UUGUCUCAUUUCUUAUCUGUGUAUAAGACCAAUGAUCCAUAUUUUUAUGUUGUUUUAAAAGUGUUCUUACCUAUGAUGAGUUGCGAACUGUAUUGCCUACAUUGUUUGAACAAUCUGUGAGAAGCUUAUGCAACGUCUGAGGAUGAACAA
Molecule: microRNA precursor, 150 nt
Filed under: Triticum aestivum (bread wheat)
Lineage: Eukaryota; Viridiplantae; Streptophyta; Magnoliopsida; Poales; Poaceae
Description: miR9779 stem-loop (tae-MIR9779)
Rfam family: Small nucleolar RNA SNORD34 (bases 66-147)
About the family: snoRNA U34 is found in intron 5 of the ribosomal protein L13a gene in humans. U34 is a member of the C/D class of snoRNA which contain C (UGAUGA) and D (CUGA) box motifs, and functions in directing site-specific 2'-O-methylation of 25S rRNAs. Although the selection of the target nucleotide requires the antisense element and the conserved box D or D' of the snoRNA, the methyltransferase activity is thought to reside in one of the protein components.
Source: miRBase by way of RNAcentral